This 482-nucleotide ribosomal RNA is filed under the name uncultured bacterium. RNAcentral's name for it is "partial 16S ribosomal RNA". It matches the Rfam family "Bacterial small subunit ribosomal RNA", at positions 30 to 507 of the family's 1533-position model. The record is from RNAcentral.
AUUGAACGCUGGCGGCAUGCUUUACACAUGCAAGUCGAACGGUAACAGGCCGCAAGGUGCUGACGAGUGGCGCACGGGUGAGUAAUGCAUCGGAACGUGCCCAGUCGUGGGGGAUAACUACUCGAAAGAGUAGCUAAUACCGCAUACGAUCUAUGGAUGAAAGCGGGGGACCGUAAGGCCUCGCGCGAUUGGAGCGGCCGAUGUCAGAUUAGGUAGUUGGUGGGGUAAAGGCUCACCAAGCCAACGAUCUGUAGCUGGUCUGAGAGGACAACCAGCCACACUGGGACUGAGACACGGCCCAGACUCCUACGGGAGGCAGCAGUGGGGAAUUUUGGACAAAGGGCGCAAGCCUGAUCCAGCAAUGCCGCGUGCAGGAAGAAGGCCUUCGGGUUGUAAACUGCUUUUGUACGGAACGAAACGGCUCUGGUUAAUACCCGGGGCUAAUGACGGUACCGUAAGAAUAAGCACCGGCUAACUACGUG